UACGUAGGUGGCAAGCGUUGUCCGGAAUUACUGGGCGUAAAGGGCUCGUAGGCGGCCAACUAAGUCAGACGUGAAAUCCCCAGGCUUAACCUGGGAACUGCGUCUGAUACUGGAUGGCUUGAAUUCGGGAGAGGGAUGCAGAAUUCCAGGUAUAGCGGUGAAAUGCGUAGAUAUCUGGAGGAAUACCGGUGGCGAAGGCGGCAUCCUGGACCGACAUUGACGCUGAGGAGCGAAAGCUAGGGGAGCAAACGGG
Molecule: ribosomal RNA, 253 nt
Filed under: uncultured bacterium
Lineage: Bacteria
Description: partial 16S ribosomal RNA
Rfam family: Bacterial small subunit ribosomal RNA
Source: RNAcentral